GCUCUAUAAUGCAAGUCGAGCGAACAGAUGAGAAGCUUGCUUCUCUGAUGUUAGCGGCGGACGGGUGAGUAACACGUGGGUAACCUACCUAUAAGACUGGGAUAACUCCGGGAAACCGGGGCUAAUACCGGAUAAUAUUUUGAACCGCAUGGUUCAAUAGUGAAAGACGGUUUCGGCUGUCACUUAUAGAUGGACCCGCGCCGUAUUAGCUAGUUGGUAAGGUAAUGGCUUACCAAGGCGACGAUACGUAGCCGACCUGAGAGGGUGAUCGGCCACACUGGAACUGAGACACGGUCCAGACUCCUACGGGAGGCAGCAGUAGGGAAUCUUCCGCAAUGGGCGAAAGCCUGACGGAGCAACGCCGCGUGAGUGAUGAAGGUCUUCGGAUCGUAAAACUCUGUUGUUAGGGAAGAACAAAUUUGUUAGUAACUGAACAAGUCUUGACGGUACCUAACCAGAAAGCCACGGCUAACUACGUGCCAGCAGCCGCGGUAAUACGUAGGUGGCAAGCGUUAUCCGGAAUUAUUGGGCGUAAAGCGCGCGUAGGCGGUUUCUUAAGUCUGAUGUGAAAGCCCACGGCUCAACCGUGGAGGGUCAUUGGAAACUGGGAAACUUGAGUGCAGAAGAGGAGAGUGGAAUUCCAUGUGUAGCGGUGAAAUGCGCAGAGAUAUGGAGGAACACCAGUGGCGAAGGCGGCUCUCUGGUCUGUAACUGACGCUGAUGUGCGAAAGCGUGGGGAUCAAACAGGAUUAGAUACCCUGGUAGUCCACGCCGUAAACGAUGAGUGCUAAGUGUUAGGGGGUUUCCGCCCCUUAGUGCUGCAGCUAACGCAUUAAGCACUCCGCCUGGGGAGUACGACCGCAAGGUUGAAACUCAAAGGAAUUGACGGGGACCCGCACAAGCGGUGGAGCAUGUGGUUUAAUUCGAAGCAACGCGAAGAACCUUACCAAAUCUUGACAUCCUUUGACCGCUCUAGAGAUAGAGUCUUCCCCUUCGGGGGACAAAGUGACAGGUGGUGCAUGGUUGUCGUCAGCUCGUGUCGUGAGAUGUUGGGUUAAGUCCCGCAACGAGCGCAACCCUUAAGCUUAGUUGCCAUCAUUAAGUUGGGCACCUCUAGGUUGACUGCCGGGUGACAAACCGGAGGAAGGUGGGGAUGACGUCAAAUCAUCAUGCCCCUUAUGAUUUGGGCUACACACGUGCUACAAUGGAUAAUACAAAGGGCAGCGAAUCCGCGAGGCCAAGCAAAUCCCAUAAAAUUAUUCUCAGUUCGGAUUGUAGUCUGCAACUCGACUACAUGAAGCUGGAAUCGCUAGUAAUCGUAGAUCAGCAUGCUACGGUGAAUACGUUCCCGGGUCUUGUACACACCGCCCGUCACACCACGAGAGUUUGUAACACCCGAAGCCGGUGGAGUAACCUUUUAGGAGCUAGCCGUCGAAGUGACAGAGUU
This 1447-nucleotide ribosomal RNA is filed under the name Mammaliicoccus sciuri. RNAcentral describes it as "bacterial SSU rRNA". It matches the Rfam family "Bacterial small subunit ribosomal RNA". Lineage: Bacteria; Bacillati; Bacillota; Bacilli; Caryophanales; Staphylococcaceae. The record is from RNAcentral.